RNAcentral lists this ribosomal RNA (1144 nucleotides) under Microbacterium sp. RNAcentral describes it as "bacterial SSU rRNA". It matches the Rfam family "Bacterial small subunit ribosomal RNA", at positions 59 to 1217 of the family's 1533-position model. The record is from RNAcentral. Lineage: Bacteria; Bacillati; Actinomycetota; Actinomycetes; Micrococcales; Microbacteriaceae.
CAGUCGAACGGUGAAGCAGAGCUUGCUCUGUGGAUCAGUGGCGAACGGGUGAGUAACACGUGAGCAACCUGCCCCUGACUCUGGGAUAAGCGCUGGAAACGGCGUCUAAUACUGGAUAUGUGACGUGACCGCAUGGUCUGCGUCUGGAAAGAAUUUCGGUUGGGGAUGGGCUCGCGGCCUAUCAGCUUGUUGGUGAGGUAAUGGCUCACCAAGGCGUCGACGGGUAGCCGGCCUGAGAGGGUGACCGGCCACACUGGGACUGAGACACGGCCCAGACUCCUACGGGAGGCAGCAGUGGGGAAUAUUGCACAAUGGGCGGAAGCCUGAUGCAGCAACGCCGCGUGAGGGAUGACGGCCUUCGGGUUGUAAACCUCUUUUAGCAGGGAAGAAGCGAAAGUGACGGUACCUGCAGAAAAAGCGCCGGCUAACUACGUGCCAGCAGCCGCGGUAAUACGUAGGGCGCAAGCGUUAUCCGGAAUUAUUGGGCGUAAAGAGCUCGUAGGCGGUUUGUCGCGUCUGCUGUGAAAUCCGGAGGCUCAACCUCCGGCCUGCAGUGGGUACGGGCAGACUAGAGUGCGGUAGGGGAGAUUGGAAUUCCUGGUGUAGCGGUGGAAUGCGCAGAUAUCAGGAGGAACACCGAUGGCGAAGGCAGAUCUCUGGGCCGUAACUGACGCUGAGGAGCGAAAGGGUGGGGAGCAAACAGGCUUAGAUACCCUGGUAGUCCACCCCGUAAACGUUGGGAACUAGUUGUGGGGUCCAUUCCACGGAUUCCGUGACGCAGCUAACGCAUUAAGUUCCCCGCCUGGGGAGUACGGCCGCAAGGCUAAAACUCAAAGGAAUUGACGGGGACCCGCACAAGCGGCGGAGCAUGCGGAUUAAUUCGAUGCAACGCGAAGAACCUUACCAAGGCUUGACAUAUACGAGAACGGGCCAGAAAUGGUCAACUCUUUGGACACUCGUAAACAGGUGGUGCAUGGUUGUCGUCAGCUCGUGUCGUGAGAUGUUGGGUUAAGUCCCGCAACGAGCGCAACCCUCGUUCUAUGUUGCCAGCACGUAAUGGUGGGAACUCAUGGGAUACUGCCGGGGUCACUCGGAGAAAGGUGGGGAUGACGUCAAUCAUCAUGCCCCUUAUGUCUUGGGCUUC